UUGCUUUCUAGAGACCGGCGGAUGGGUGAGUAACGCGUAUGCAACCUACCUUUUACAGGGGAAUAGCCCGGAGAAAUUCGGAUUAAUGCUCCAUGGUUUAUAUGAAUGGCAUCGUUUAUAUAAUAAAGAUUUAUCGGUAAAAGAUGGGCAUGCGUAUCAUUAGCUAGUUGGUGUGGUAACGGCAUACCAAGGCUACGAUGAUUAGGGGUCCUGAGAGGGAGAUCCCCCACACUGGUACUGAGACACGGACCAGACUCCUACGGGAGGCAGCAGUGAGGAAUAUUGGUCAAUGGAGGCAACUCUGAACCAGCCAUGCCGCGUGCAGGAUGACGGUCCUAUGGAUUGUAAACUGCUUUUGUACGGGAAGAAAUGUAAUUACGUGUAAUUAUUUGACGGUACCGUAAGAAUAAGGAUCGGCUAACUCCGUGCCAGCAGCCGCGGUAAUACGGAGGAUCCGAGCGUUAUCCGGAAUUAUUGGGUUUAAAGGGUUCGUAGGCGGUUGAGUAAGUCAGUGGUGAAAUCUUAUAGCUUAACUAUAAAAUUGCCGUUGAUACUGCUUGACUUGAAUAGUAUGGAAGUAAUUAGAAUAUGUAGUGUAGCGGUGAAAUGCUUAGAUAUUACAUGGAAUACCAAUUGCGAAGGCAGAUUACUACGUACUUAUUGACGCUGAUGAACGAAAGCGUGGGUAGCGAACAGGAUUAGAUACCCUGGUAGUCCACGCCGUAAACGAUGGAUACUAGCUGUUCGGUUUUCGGACUGA
Molecule: ribosomal RNA, 760 nt
Filed under: Myroides sp.
Lineage: Bacteria; Pseudomonadati; Bacteroidota; Flavobacteriia; Flavobacteriales; Flavobacteriaceae
Description: bacterial SSU rRNA
Rfam family: Bacterial small subunit ribosomal RNA
Source: RNAcentral